RNAcentral lists this ribosomal RNA (455 nucleotides) under uncultured organism. RNAcentral's name for it is "bacterial SSU rRNA". It matches the Rfam family "Bacterial small subunit ribosomal RNA", at positions 346 to 794 of the family's 1533-position model. The record is from RNAcentral.
GUGCAGCAGUCGCGAAUUUUUCUCAAUGGGGGCAACCCUGAAGGAGCGACGCCGCGUGGAGGAUGAAGGCUUUCGGGUUGUAAACUCCUGUCAUUUGAGAACAAGUGGCCGAACCUAACUACUUCGGCCUUGAUAGUAUCAGAAGAGGAAGGGACGGCUAACUCUGUGCCAGCAGCCGCGGUAAUACAGAGGUCCCAAGCGUUGUUCGGAUUCAUUGGGCGUAAAGGGUGCGUAGGUGGCGCCGUCAGUGGGGUGUGAAAUUUCGGAGCUUAACUCCGAAACUGCAUUCCAUACUGCGGUGCUUGAGGACUGGAGAGGAGACUGGAAUUUACGGUGUAGCAGUGAAAUGCGUAGAGAUCGUAAGGAAGACCAGUGGCGAAGGCGGGUCUCUGGACAGUUCCUGACACUGAGGUACGAAGGCCAGGGGAGCAAACGGGAUUAGAUACCCGCGUAGU